CGGUAACAGGUCCUUCGGGAUGCUGACGAGUGGCGAACGGGUGCGUAACACGUACACGACCUACCUUCAAGAGGGGGAUAGCCCUGGGAAACUGGGAUUAAUACCGCAUAGUAUUAUUUGGCUGCAUGGCUGAAUAAUUAAAGCUUAGGCGCUUGAAGAUGGGUGUGCGUUCCAUUAGGUAGAUGGUGAGGUAACGGCUCACCAUGCCUACGAUGGAUAGCGGGUCUGGGAGGAUGAUCCGCCACACGGGCACUGAGACACGGGCCCGACUCCUACGGGAGGCAGCAGUAAGGAAUAUUGGACAAUGGGCGGAAGCCUGAUCCAGCCAUCCCGCGUGCAGGAAGACGGUUCUAUGAAUUGUAAACUGCUUUUAUCAGAGACGAAAAGUUUCCAUUUAUGGAAGAAUCGACGGUAUCUGAUGAAUAAGCACCGGCUAACUCCGUGCCAGCAGCCGCGGUAAUACGGAGGGUGCAAGCGUUAUCCGGAAUUACUGGGUUUAAAGGGUCCGCAGGCGGGCUGAUAAGUCAGUGGUGAAAUCCUACGGCUCAACCGUAGAACUGCCAUUGAUACUGUUAGUCUUGAGUAAGGUGGAAGUUGGCGGAAUACAGCAUGUAGCG
RNAcentral lists this ribosomal RNA (617 nucleotides) under uncultured bacterium. RNAcentral describes it as "bacterial SSU rRNA". It matches the Rfam family "Bacterial small subunit ribosomal RNA", at positions 67 to 680 of the family's 1533-position model. The record is from RNAcentral.